UACGUAGGGGGCGAGCGUUGUCCGGAGUUACUGGGCGUAAAGGGCGUGCAGGCGGUGCAGUAAGUUUGGAGUGACAGUUCCGGCUUAACCGGGGAAGGCCUCUGAAAACUGCUGGACUCGAGGGCCAGAGAGGGACAUAGAAUUCCGGGUGGAGUGGUGAAAUGCGUAGAUAUCCGGAGGAAUACCAAAGGCGAAGGCAGUGUCCUGGCUGGCAUCUGACGCUGAGGCGCGAAAGCUAGGGGAGCGAACAGG
This 252-nucleotide ribosomal RNA is filed under the name uncultured bacterium. Its description in RNAcentral is "partial 16S ribosomal RNA". It matches the Rfam family "Bacterial small subunit ribosomal RNA", at positions 524 to 776 of the family's 1533-position model. The record is from RNAcentral.